CCGCGGGAUUAGAGUUUGAUCCUGGCUCAGAGCGAACGCUGGCGGCAGGCCUAACACAUGCAAGUCGAACGAACUCUUCGGAGUUAGUGGCGGACGGGUGAGUAACACGUGGGAACGUGCCUUUAGGUUCGGAAUAACUCAGGGAAACUUGUGCUAAUACCGAAUGUGCCCUUCGGGGGAAAGAUUUAUCGCCUUUAGAGCGGCCCGCGUCUGAUUAGCUAGUUGGUGAGGUAAAGGCUCACCAAGGCGACGAUCAGUAGCUGGUCUGAGAGGAUGAUCAGCCACAUUGGGACUGAGACACGGCCCAAACUCCUACGGGAGGCAGCAGUGGGGAAUCUUGCGCAAUGGGCGAAAGCCUGACGCAGCCAUGCCGCGUGAAUGAUGAAGGUCUUAGGAUUGUAAAAUUCUUUCACCGGGGACGAUAAUGACGGUACCCGGAGAAGAAGCCCCGGCUAACUUCGUGCCAGCAGCCGCGGUAAUACGAAGGGGGCUAGCGUUGCUCGGAAUUACUGGGCGUAAAGGGAGCGUAGGCGGACAUUUAAGUCAGGGGUGAAAUCCCGGGGCUCAACCUCGGAAUUGCCUUUGAUACUGGGUGUCUUGAGUAUGAGAGAGGUGUGUGGAACUCCGAGUGUAGAGGUGAAAUUCGUAGAUAUUCGGAAGAACACCAGUGGCGAAGGCGACACACUGGCUCAUUACUGACGCUGAGGCUCGAAAGCGUGGGGAGCAAACAGGAUUAGAUACCCUGGUAGUCCACGCCGUAAACGAUGAUUGCUAGUUGUCGGGAUGCAUGCAUUUCGGUGACGCAGCUAACGCAUUAAGCAAUCCGCCUGGGGAGUACGGUCGCAA
RNAcentral lists this ribosomal RNA (846 nucleotides) under uncultured Alphaproteobacteria bacterium. Its description in RNAcentral is "bacterial SSU rRNA". It matches the Rfam family "Bacterial small subunit ribosomal RNA", at positions 1 to 891 of the family's 1533-position model. Lineage: Bacteria; Pseudomonadati; Pseudomonadota; Alphaproteobacteria. The record is from RNAcentral.